CUGUGAAUAGUUUGGUCUAGAACCAUAGUUUCAAUUUGGUUUUGCUGUUGGGCUGCUUUGGUUUGGCUGAAAUGGGUUGAGCCCCUAUUAUAAUUUGGUUUGGUGUGGGCUUUUGUAAUUAAUAGAUUGGGUUGGUUUGGUCUGGACGGAGACAAAUUGGUCUCAAACCGUUUCAGUCCAUGGAUAAAAACCAAUAUAGCGACCAGUUUGACCUCACCCCGUUAGGCAAGACCAGCGCUAGGUUUAGAUGCAGCCGCCGCCGUCGCAGACGAGCCACAUGAGCAUGCGUCCGCCCCGCCAUCACCGAGAUCUCCGGUGACAAAAGUCAGCUCCUUCAUGCAGAACACGAGGAGCUCAGAGCCGAGGCCUUCGAUGACGCUGUUGACAAUGGAGAUGCACGCUGUUGACAAUGGAGAUGGCAGUGAGCUCGACCUUGCCGAUGUGGCCGACGGAGACGAAGCUAAUGAGGAACUGGAAGACUCCCGUCAGGAUCAUGGCCAGCGUCUCCGCGGCCGGCGCCACCAUCUGCUCUUUCGGUGCACACGCACAGACUACAAGCACACAGCAAGCUAGCCGCUGUUCGUACGUGCCUCGUAUCUUUCGUAGUUCUGUAUGUACAGGUUAAGUUUGGGGUUCAACGUUCCAGUUGCUGCUGAGUGACCCAUGGUUUGAAACUUUGGGUUCAAACUGUAUGUAGAAAAUGGUCUGGAUGGAUUUGGCUUGAAAAUACAUACAGUUUGGGUUGGUUUGGAUUGUAGUUUUUGCAAUUUGGUCUGGUUUGGUUUGAUCGCUGGACCUAUACAUGUAUGGUUUGGCCUGGGUUUAGUUUGGAUUACAAACUAUUACCAGGUUUAGUUGCAGGUUUGAGGACAACUAGCUGCAGGUCAUGUUCCAGAACCCCCCCUUUCAAUCUUCUCUCCCCAUGGACUGAAUAUGAGGAAAAUUGUGCUGACGAUCUUUUCUAUACUGAGCAAUGGUAGUUAUUUUGUUCCUGUGAAGCUCCAGGUUUGGCUGAUUGCUUGGAUGAUGAGUUUCAUAACCCACACAAGAAAUAGGAAAGAGAAGGUAAAGACAAGACACAAUCCAUUUGGUUUGUCAUUUUGAAGGCACAAAUAGAAACAAGAACACCAUAUAUGCUUUAUAAGGUUUUCUCUAAAUUUUGAGGAGCUUUGAGAGUUUGUCAGGGCAGAGAGGAUGGUUCUCAAGUAUGCUACUAUCAUUGAUGUUGUGUGGGAGCGCUAAAGAUUUGUGAAACUGCUAGCCACUAUCUACUUGUGCCUGCAAUUGUGUUUUAUACAGGACAGGGCUCUGCCGUUUCAGUGGUGCCAAGAUAUACCCGGGGGAUGUAUCAGAUUGGUCCAUUCAUACUCUCGAGUCCUCCUUUUGUCCAACUCAAAGUGCAAGCGCUAUUUCUGCAACCAUCUCAAGCCUGCUAAGCUUAUAUGGACUGCCAUGUACAGGAAGCAGCAGAAGAACGUAUACGGAUAUUCGUGUUGAGGCUGCAAAGAAGAGGCACCGGACCACCAAGAGUCCAUGUGGUCUCGCUGUUAAUCGCCUCUGGACGCGCCAUUGACGGCCAUAACCAACGUCUAUGCAUAGAAUCCAUGUGCCGUGUUUCCUGUUUCUCCGAGACCUUUUAAUUCUAUCGUAUGAUGUGAGGAAAUAUGCCUCUGCUUUAUCAUCUAUAUCAUCGUUCAUGUAACCUCUAAGAGUCCAGUCUUUGAAUGUGUUGCAUUCGUGCAACUGUCUUAUUGUUUCAGUUAGAAACUUCUCUGAAUGUGUUGCUUUUGCACAACUGUCUUAUUAUUUCAGUUAGAAACUU
Molecule: RNA transcript, 1822 nt
Organism: Triticum dicoccoides
Lineage: Eukaryota; Viridiplantae; Streptophyta; Magnoliopsida; Poales; Poaceae
Exons: 6
Source: RefSeq, a predicted model, not a curated record